This 369-nucleotide unclassified non-coding RNA is filed under the name uncultured Corticiales. RNAcentral describes it as "sequence contains ITS1". The stretch from base 1 to 105 matches the Rfam family "5.8S ribosomal RNA", at positions 50 to 154 of the family's 154-position model. Lineage: Eukaryota; Fungi; Basidiomycota; Agaricomycetes. The record is from RNAcentral.
GAAAUGCGAUAAGUAAUGUGAAUUGCAGAAUUCAGUGAAUCAUCGAAUCUUUGAACGCACAUUGCGCCCACUAGUAUUCUGGUGGGCAUGCCUGUUCGAGUGUCAUGAAUCUCUCAAUCCCUCUGGCUUUGUUGACAGAGGGCUUGGAUUUGGGGGCUUGCCGGCCUAGUCGGCUCCCCUUGAAUGCAUUAGCUUGGGUCUUGUCCGCAAGGAUCCUCGGUGUGAUAAUUAUCGACGCCGUGACAACUUGUGGCGCGUGUGACCGCACCCCUCGGGUGGCGUGUGACCGGACCGCUAAGCUUACAAUCGUCCUCGGACAACUUCUUGACAUCUGACCUCAAAUCAGGUAGGACUACCCGCUGAACUUAA